AAUUUUGGACAAUGGGGGAAACCCUGAUCCAGCCAGCCCGCGUGUAGGAUGAAGGCCUUCGGGUUGUAAAGUACUUUUGGCAGAGAAGAAAAGGUACCUCCUAAUACGAGGUACUGCAGACGGUAUCUGCAGAAUAAGCACCUGCGUACUACGUGCCAGCAGCCGCGGUAAUACGUAGGGUGCAAGCGUUAAUCGGAAUUACUGGGCGUAAAGCGUGUGUAGGCGGUUCGGAAAGAAAGAUGUGCAAUCCCAGGGCUCCACCUGGGAACUGCAUUUUUAACUGCCGAGCUAGAGUAUGUCAGAGGGGGGUAGAAUUCCACGUGUAGCAGUGAAAUGAGUAGAUAUGUGGAGGAAUACCGAUGGCGAAGGCAGCCCCCUGGGAUAAUACUGACGCUCAGACACGAAAGCGUGGGGAGCAAAAAG
This 423-nucleotide ribosomal RNA is filed under the name uncultured bacterium. RNAcentral describes it as "partial 16S ribosomal RNA". It matches the Rfam family "Bacterial small subunit ribosomal RNA", at positions 360 to 775 of the family's 1533-position model. The record is from RNAcentral.